CAAAAAAUAGUUUAAAGUAGAGCGUCGGCUUUGGGAGCCGGUGGUGGGGGUUAAAGCCCCCCUUUUUUGA
RNAcentral lists this transfer RNA (70 nucleotides) under Tomicodon cryptus. Its description in RNAcentral is "tRNA-Pro". It matches the Rfam family "tRNA". From Rfam's summary of the family: Transfer RNA (tRNA) molecules are approximately 80 nucleotides in length. Their secondary structure includes four short double-helical elements and three loops (D, anti-codon, and T loops). Lineage: Eukaryota; Metazoa; Chordata; Actinopteri; Blenniiformes; Gobiesocidae. The record is from RNAcentral.